RNAcentral lists this long non-coding RNA (355 nucleotides) under Nicotiana tabacum (common tobacco). Its description in RNAcentral is "long non-coding RNA (NTAB_LNC005133)". Lineage: Eukaryota; Viridiplantae; Streptophyta; Magnoliopsida; Solanales; Solanaceae. The record is from RNAcentral.
UCAAAUCCAAUUACUUUUGUGAGUGUGUGUGUGUGUGUUACUUACACAACGUAGACCUUAGUUGUAGCCAUAGUUUGAUCAGAUGAUAGUUACAGAGCUGGAAAUUAAACCCUCAAUUGAAAAAGAAGUUAACUACAGUUCUUCCCCAAAACCAAAGUGGACAAGUAGGUGGAUUCGAAGAAUAUAUGGAGAACACAAGUGAUUUUCGUGAAUUAGUUAACCAAAGUGGACAAGUAGGUGGAUUCGAAGGAUGCGUGUAAGAACUCUAGAGAUGUAUCUGAAGGCUUCAGCCACGUCGCAAGACCACAUCGUUUAAAGCUUUUGUCAGCUCUGAUCCUUUUGCUGGUGCAUUCUU